GCGUCAUUGGUCUAGGGGUUAGGAUUCAACUCUUCCAUGCUGAAAAGUUGAGGCCCGGAUUCGAGUUCCGGAUGACGCA
Molecule: transfer RNA, 79 nt
Filed under: Trichoderma viride
Lineage: Eukaryota; Fungi; Ascomycota; Sordariomycetes; Hypocreales; Hypocreaceae
Also listed under: 1 other name
Description: tRNA-Gly
Rfam family: tRNA
About the family: Transfer RNA (tRNA) molecules are approximately 80 nucleotides in length. Their secondary structure includes four short double-helical elements and three loops (D, anti-codon, and T loops). Further hydrogen bonds mediate the characteristic L-shaped molecular structure. tRNAs have two regions of fundamental functional importance: the anti-codon, which is responsible for specific mRNA codon recognition, and the 3' end, to which the tRNAs corresponding amino acid is attached (by aminoacyl-tRNA synthetases). tRNAs cope with the degeneracy of the genetic code in two manners: having more than one tRNA (with a specific anti-codon) for a particular amino acid; and 'wobble' base-pairing, i.e. permitting non-standard base-pairing at the 3rd anti-codon position.
Source: RNAcentral